This 27-nucleotide non-coding RNA is filed under the name Macaca fascicularis (crab-eating macaque). RNAcentral also lists the same sequence under 1 other name. The record is from RNAcentral. Lineage: Eukaryota; Metazoa; Chordata; Mammalia; Primates; Cercopithecidae.
UAAUCCCCUUUACCUUGAGUUGAUAGC